Molecule: non-coding RNA, 113 nt
Organism: Brassica napus (rape)
Lineage: Eukaryota; Viridiplantae; Streptophyta; Magnoliopsida; Brassicales; Brassicaceae
Source: Rfam
GGAAUAUAAGAAACUGUAUUUUAACUUUUAACUAAAAAAACUAAGAACUAGUUCUUAAAUAACCGGUUCUUGGCUUUUUUAGUUAAAAUUUAAAAGAUAAUUUCUUAUAUUCU